This is a non-coding RNA of Cricetulus griseus (Chinese hamster), 948 nucleotides long. The record is from RefSeq and is a predicted model, not a curated record. Lineage: Eukaryota; Metazoa; Chordata; Mammalia; Rodentia; Cricetidae.
UGCUAGGCCCCAGAGACCAGGAGCGCAACCGCAACCGCGCUAGCUUUGCCGGGUUCCACCCCGUGUAGGGUCGUAGUGAGCCACAGGGAGUCGCCCAGUUCCUGUUUUCCUAGUUGGAAGAGUUCCUCCCUCCGUCCUAACGCCGGUCAGCCCCAAGGGAGUGAUUCUGUACCUCCAAAGACAGUCUCGCCCUACUCUGCCCCACCCGGCUCGCACCACAUCCCACCGCAGUCGCUGAGGAGGAGUGAGUCCUGGAGUCAGCACAAGUGGGCCAAAGUUCAGGAGUUUCCGAGACCUCAAAACAGGGAGGCUGCAAGUCAGACAGACCUGGGAGGGAAGUACCUGGUUGGCCAAGGUUCUAGGGGUCUCUAAAGCUUCUUGUUCAGCACCCAGUGAUGGCCCGCCGAAGACUGGCCCUGGGCCUAGCAUUCUGCCUGCUUGCUAGCACAAGUCUCUGGUUCCUGUGGGGAUAUGUCGAGGACCUGCUGCUGGUCUCAUACUUGCCUUAUUACCUCCCCUGCCCAGCGUUGUUGUAAGUAUGAGGCUAGAGGAUUGGGGGGCAGUGUGGGCUGACCAUAUUUGGAGAGACAGGAAAGCUUUUAUGAUGACAUUGUUUGAGGGCUUAUGGUUCUGAGAAGUGCCACAGCUGCCACAGACAUACAGUGACCCUGAGAUUUCAGCCUUCAAGUAUCCUGCUGCCCUCUGCAUGCUUUGGCUUUAGACCAAAAGCAUGAGCUAUGGGUCUUGCUAAUUGCUUGCCGUGCCUGUUAGAUGGGAUGGUAGAGAUACCUUUCCUGGGCUGCUGCACCUGAGUAGCCUGGCGUCUUGGUACAUAGAAGGUAGUCAGUAAACAGCCCUGGUAGGAAGGGACCUCUUGCUCCAUUUUGUGUGGGUGCAGGGAACUGAGUGGCUUUAGCCUUCCCUACUUGGUGAAACUGUUUGACAGCU